ACCCUUUUAGUACAACUAAUACAAGUGACUUCCACUCACUAAAUCUUAACAAAAACUAAGAAAGGGUA
Molecule: transfer RNA, 68 nt
Filed under: Dopasia harti (Hart's glass lizard)
Lineage: Eukaryota; Metazoa; Chordata; Lepidosauria; Squamata; Anguidae
Also listed under: 1 other name
Description: tRNA-Gly
Source: RNAcentral